AGAGUUUGAUCCUGGCUCAGAGCGAACGCUGGCGGCAGGCUUAACACAUGCAAGUCGAGCGGACCUUUCGGGGUCAGCGGCGGACGGGUGAGUAACGCGUGUGGAACGUGCCUUCCGGUUCGGAAUAACCCUGGGAAACUAGGGCUAAUACCGGAUACGCCCUUAUGGGGAAAGGUUUACUGCCGGAAGAUCGGCCCGCGUCUGAUUAGCUAGUUGGUGGGGUAACGGCCUACCAAGGCGACGAUCAGUAGCUGGUCUGAGAGGAUGAUCAGCCACACUGGGACUGAGACACGGCCCAGACUCCUACGGGAGGCAGCAGUGGGGAAUAUUGGACAAUGGGCGCAAGCCUGAUCCAGCCAUGCCGCGUGAGUGAUGAAGGCCUUAGGGUUGUAAAGCUCUUUUAUCCGGGACGAUAAUGACGGUACCGGAGGAAUAAGCCCCGGCUAACUUCGU
This 453-nucleotide ribosomal RNA is filed under the name soil bacterium RFS-I119. RNAcentral's name for it is "bacterial SSU rRNA". It matches the Rfam family "Bacterial small subunit ribosomal RNA", at positions 8 to 506 of the family's 1533-position model. The record is from RNAcentral.